UUUUUAAAUGGCCGCAGUAUACUAACUGUGCAAAGGUAGCAUAAUCAUUAGUCUUUUAAUUGAAGGCUGGUAUGAAUGGUUGGACGAGAUAUUAACUGUUUCAUAUAAAUUUUUAUUAGAAUUUUAUUUUUUAGUCAAAAAGCUAAAAUUUAUUUAAAAGACGAGAAGACCCUAUAAAUCUUUAUAUUUAGUUGAUUAUUAUUUUUUAGAUUUGUUUUGUAAUAAUUAAUUAUAAUAUUUUAUUGGGGUGAUAUUAAAAUUUAUUAAACUUUUAAUUUUUAAAAUCAUUAAUUUAUGAAUAAUUGAUCCGUUAUUAACGAUUAAAAAAAUAAGUUACUUUAGGGAUAACAGCGUAAUUUUUUUGGAGAGUUCAUAUCGAUAAAAAAGAUUGCGACCUCGAUGUUGGAUUAAGAUAUAAUUUUAGGUGUAGCCGCUUAAAUUUUAAGUCUGUUCGACUUUUAAAUUCUUACAUGAUCUGAGUUCAAACCGGCGUAAGCCAGGUUGGUUUCUAUCUUUAAAAA
This 521-nucleotide ribosomal RNA is filed under the name Pachychoeromyia praegrandis. RNAcentral describes it as "partial small subunit ribosomal RNA". It matches the Rfam family "Bacterial large subunit ribosomal RNA", at positions 1920 to 2650 of the family's 2925-position model. Lineage: Eukaryota; Metazoa; Arthropoda; Insecta; Diptera; Calliphoridae. The record is from RNAcentral.